RNAcentral lists this ribosomal RNA (292 nucleotides) under uncultured bacterium. RNAcentral's name for it is "partial 16S ribosomal RNA". It matches the Rfam family "Bacterial small subunit ribosomal RNA", at positions 505 to 796 of the family's 1533-position model. The record is from RNAcentral.
GUGCCAGCCGCCGCGGUAAUACGUAGGCAGCAAACGUUGUUCGGAAUUACUGGGCGUAAAGAGUGUGUAGGCGGUCUUGUAAGUUCUGUGUGAAAUCUCCCGGCUUAACUGGGAGGGUGCGCCGAAUACUGCAAGGCUUGAGUACUGGAGAGGAUAGCGGAAUUCCUGGUGUAGCGGUGAAAUGCGUAGAUAUCAGGAGGAACACCGGCGGUGUAGACGGCUGUCUGGACAGUAACUGACGCUGAAACACGAAAGCGUGGGGAGCAAACAGGAUUAGAAACCCCGGUAGUCC